RNAcentral lists this ribosomal RNA (253 nucleotides) under uncultured bacterium. Its description in RNAcentral is "partial 16S ribosomal RNA". It matches the Rfam family "Bacterial small subunit ribosomal RNA", at positions 524 to 776 of the family's 1533-position model. The record is from RNAcentral.
UACGUAGGGUGCAAGCGUUAAUCGGAAUUACUGGGCGUAAAGCGUGCGCAGGCGGUGAUGUAAGACAGUUGUGAAAUCCCCGGGCUCAACCUGGGAACUGCAUCUGUGACUGCAUCGCUGGAGUGCGGCAGAGGGGGAUGGAAUUCCGCGUGUAGCAGUGAAAUGCGUAGAUAUGCGGAGGAACACCGAUGGCGAAGGCAAUCCCCUGGGCCUGCACUGACGCUCAUGCACGAAAGCGUGGGUCGCGAAUGGG